This is a non-coding RNA of Tannerella sp. CAG:51, 75 nucleotides long. Lineage: Bacteria; Pseudomonadati; Bacteroidota; Bacteroidia; Bacteroidales; Tannerellaceae. The record is from Rfam.
GGGCGUUUAGCUCAGCUGGUUCAGAGCAUCUGCCUUACAAGCAGAGGGUCGGCGGUUCGAAUCCGUCAACGCCCA